RNAcentral lists this long non-coding RNA (225 nucleotides) under Elaeis guineensis (African oil palm). Its description in RNAcentral is "long non-coding RNA (EGUI_LNC040472)". The record is from RNAcentral. Lineage: Eukaryota; Viridiplantae; Streptophyta; Magnoliopsida; Arecales; Arecaceae.
GAUGUGUGGUGUCAUGGGUAUGGCAUAUAGGUGAUUUGUAGGAGUACAUUUUAUUGAGCGUGAUCACUUUCAGAGUACUCUGCGGUCAAGAGUUACUCUGAUGGGAUAUAGGUAUAUGUGUCCCUCUGACCUGAGGCUACCUUAGUGACUUGCAAGCAACUCACUGUGCUUUGAUGUCGGACUAUCUGAAUUUUUAAUUUGAUGAUGGAAGAUUUUUGGGUACAG